RNAcentral lists this ribosomal RNA (437 nucleotides) under Clostridium sp. FP2. Its description in RNAcentral is "bacterial SSU rRNA". The record is from RNAcentral. Lineage: Bacteria; Bacillati; Bacillota; Clostridia; Eubacteriales; Clostridiaceae.
UUUAAAUUGAGAGUUUGAUCCUGGCUCAGGACGAAYGCUGGCGGCGUGCCUAACACAUGCAAGUCGAGCGAUGAAACCCUUCGGGGUGGAUUAGCGGCGGACGGGUGAGUAACACGUGGGUAACCUGCCUCAAAGAGGGGAAUAGCCUCCCGAAAGGGAGAUUAAUACCGCAUAAUAUGUUUUGGUCGCAUGACCUUUACAUCAAAGGAUUUUUCUUUUAGAGAAUUCCACUUUGAGAUGGACCCGCGGCGCAUUAGCUAGUUGGUGAGGUAACGGCCCACCAAGGCAACGAUGCGUAGCCGACCUGAGAGGGUGAUCGGCCACAUUGGAACUGAGACACGGUCCAGACUCCUACGGGAGGCAGCAGUGGGGAAUAUUGCGCAAUGGGGGAAACCCUGACGCAGCAACGCCGCGUGAAUGAUGAAGGCCUUCGGGUU